UACAUGUGGGGCAAGCGUUGUCCGGAAUUAUUGGGCGUAAAGCGCGCGCAGGCGGUCUUUUAAGUCUGAUGUGAAAGCCCACGGCUCAACCGUGGAAGGUCAUUGGAAACUGGGAGACUUGAGUACAGAAGAGGAAAGCGGAAUUCCACGUGUAGCGGUGAAAUGCGUAGAGAUGUGGAGGAACACCAGUGGCGAAGGCGGCUUUCUGGUCUGUAACUGACGCUGAGGCGCGAAAGCGUGGGGAGCAAACAGG
This 253-nucleotide ribosomal RNA is filed under the name uncultured bacterium. RNAcentral describes it as "partial 16S ribosomal RNA". It matches the Rfam family "Bacterial small subunit ribosomal RNA", at positions 524 to 776 of the family's 1533-position model. The record is from RNAcentral.